RNAcentral lists this transfer RNA (74 nucleotides) under Schnuerera ultunensis. RNAcentral's name for it is "tRNA-Trp". It matches the Rfam family "tRNA". Rfam says of the family: Transfer RNA (tRNA) molecules are approximately 80 nucleotides in length. Lineage: Bacteria; Bacillati; Bacillota; Tissierellia; Tissierellales; Tepidimicrobiaceae. The record is from RNAcentral. RNAcentral also lists the same sequence under 2 other names.
AGGGGUGUGGUGAAGUGGUAUCACACUGGUCUCCAAAACCAUUAGUGGGGGUUCGAUUCCCUCCACCCCUGCCA